This 151-nucleotide non-coding RNA is filed under the name chicken gut metagenome. RNAcentral's name for it is "6S / SsrS RNA". It matches the Rfam family "6S / SsrS RNA", at positions 29 to 185 of the family's 187-position model. Rfam says of the family: E. coli 6S RNA was the first non coding RNA to be sequenced, but its function was unknown until recently. It consists of 184 nucleotides that fold into an extended hairpin structure with a large single-stranded internal bulge. The record is from RNAcentral.
ACACGUUUUGAGCCAACACUCAAAAUAAGGGAAUCCAAUAUUUGUCUGUGGACUUAAUGCCUCCUCUUGAGUGGACUAAGGAAGCAGCUUGAGGAAUCCCACCUGCAUAUGCAGGUUCAAAACAUUGGCGUUAACCGGCAUUGUGGGGCAU